RNAcentral lists this ribosomal RNA (800 nucleotides) under uncultured bacterium. RNAcentral's name for it is "bacterial SSU rRNA". It matches the Rfam family "Bacterial small subunit ribosomal RNA", at positions 79 to 898 of the family's 1533-position model. The record is from RNAcentral.
UAUAAUUGUCAGCUAAGUGGCGCACGGGUGAGUAAUGUAUAGAUAACCUGCCCUUAAGAAAGGAAUAACAGUUGGAAACGACUGCUAAUGCCCUAUAUGCCUUUAAUACAUAAGUAUGCAAGGGAAACGCUUUAGUGCUUAAGGAUGGGUCUGUAUGGUAUCAGCUUGUUGGUGAGGUAAUGGCUCACCAAGGCUAUGACGCCUAACUGGUUUGAGAGGAUGAUCAGUCACACUGGAACUGAGACACGGCCCAGACUCCUACGGGAGGCAGCAGUGGGGAAUAUUGCACAAUGGACGAAAGUCUGAUGCAGCAACGCCGCGUGGAGGAUGACACAUUUCGGUGCGUAAACUCCUUUUAUAUAGGAAGAUAAUGACGGUACUAUAUGAAUAAGCACCGGCUAACUCCGUGCCAGCAGCCGCGGUAAUACGGAGGGUGCAAGCGUUACUCGGAAUCACUGGGCGUAAAGAGCGUGUAGGCGGGUAUAUAAGUCAGAAGUGAAAUCCAAUAGCUCAACUAUUGAACUGCUUUUGAAACUGUAUACCUAGAAUGUGGGAGAGGUAGAUGGAAUUUCUGGUGUAGGGGUAAAAUCCGUAGAGAUCAGAAGGAAUACCGAUUGCGAAGGCGAUCUACUGGAACAUUAUUGACGCUGAGACGCGAAAGCGUGGGGAGCAAACAGGAUUAGAUACCCUGGUAGUCCACGCCCUAAACGAUGUACACUAGUUGUUGUGAGGCUCGACCUUGCAGUAAUGCAGUUAACACAUUAAGUGUACCGCCUGGGGAGUACGGUCGCAAGAUUAAA